CAGGGACAAAGAACGGCUGAGGAGUACUGUGCUGAUUUUCGAAAAUGGUGUACAGUAUCUGGUUGGAAUGAUCCAGCAAUUAGGUGUCAGUUCAGACUAGGAUUAUCUGAUGCUAUUAAGGAUAUCCUUGUAAGCUAUCCAUCACCUGACUCCUUAGAACAGACCAUGACUUUAGCGGUACAACAUGACAGACAUUUAAGAGAGAGAAGACGUGAACGGUCCGCUUCUUCUGUUUCUCAUUCUCAUUCCUCCAUGUUGUCUUCUUUACCUAUCUCUCAUAUAUUUUCUGAGGAACCCAUGCAGAUAGGGAAAUUGUCCCAGGAGAGAAAAUCUAUCCGGAAGAAAGACAACUUUUGCUUCUUUUGUGGAGAGAUGGGACAUCGAAUACAGAAUUGCUCCAAACGUCAGCAGCCGGGAUACACCAGCACCUAAAUGAUAAUCGAGGAAAUCAUUUAGGCACACAGGAUAACCUCUGCAAACCAACCGGGACUCAAUAUCAUGUGCCUCCUUAUUAAAUAUGUCUAUAGUGGAACAAUUACGGCGAGCCCUUACCAUCUCACCCACUGGGAGUGCAGAUUGCAAUACGUUGGUUGUACCACAAAUAAAUGAAAAGUUAGGACCCGCAAUUAUUUAUCGGACAUUCCACAUGUUUGUUCACGCAAUAUUUCCAUGGUCACACAGCAUUGUGCACAAAAACAUGAAGGCAGCUACUCUACUUUGAUGUUACAGGGAAUUGAAAGGGUUACUCCACCUACUAGAGGUCGUAACUACAAACAGAAAAUGUUGAACCAAGAAGUAUUUUGGAUAAUUGAACUUGGUACCUGUGUGAACCUGAGGAGUUGUUUGCGAUUUCUUCCAUAUUGUUCUACAAGCUGGAGCACACAAAACUGCCCUGGGAAUCAGGACGGAGAUAGAAUGGCGUCUCUGCACCAGGAACAACCACCACUACAUGGUCAUGUAUGGACUUUAAACUGGAGUCACAUUUUUGUUUGUUCUGAGUUUAACAUCUGAUGUUAAGCCUUCUGCUGAACUGUUAUGUUCCUGCUGGUUUGUUUUUAAUAAACCCUUUUGUUUUUGCACCAACAUCCUGCUUGUUUGCCUACCAUUUGUACAUCUAAUUCCCACAAUAGCUAUAUACCCA
Long non-coding RNA from Hyla sarda, 1141 nucleotides. RefSeq lists it as uncharacterized. NCBI's taxonomy places the organism in Eukaryota, Metazoa, Chordata, Amphibia, Anura, Hylidae. The record is from RefSeq and is a predicted model, not a curated record. The transcript has 3 exons.